UGGCGGACGGGUGAGUAAUGCGUAGGAAUCUACCUAAUUGUGUGGGAUAGCCUAGGGAAACUUAGGGUAAUACCGCAUAAGCCCUACGGGGGGAAAGGCAGGGGACUGUUAAAGGCCUUGCGCGAUUAGAUGAGCUUACGUCGGAUUAGCUAGUUGGUGGGGUAAAGGCCUACCAAGGCGAUGAUCCGUAGCUGGUCUGAGAGGACGACCAGCCACACUGGGACUGAGACACGGCCCAG
This 239-nucleotide ribosomal RNA is filed under the name uncultured bacterium. Its description in RNAcentral is "partial 16S ribosomal RNA". It matches the Rfam family "Bacterial small subunit ribosomal RNA", at positions 96 to 334 of the family's 1533-position model. The record is from RNAcentral.